GGGGAAGUAACUCAGUGGCAGGGUGCUCGCUUCGCAUGCGAGAAGCACAGGGUUUGAUUGCCUCCUGCUCCA
This is a non-coding RNA of Blyttiomyces helicus, 72 nucleotides long. Lineage: Eukaryota; Fungi; Chytridiomycota; Chytridiomycetes. The record is from the annotation of a GenBank genome assembly.